This 759-nucleotide ribosomal RNA is filed under the name Triticum aestivum (bread wheat). RNAcentral describes it as "partial small subunit ribosomal RNA". Lineage: Eukaryota; Viridiplantae; Streptophyta; Magnoliopsida; Poales; Poaceae. The record is from RNAcentral.
AUGUGGGUGGACAUGUGGAAUGCUCAGAGGAAUGCCCGAGUUGAAGAUGAUCACACACCUGACAAUGACGAGGGGGCAUAUUUAAGGCAUUUGGAGUGGCUUCGCAAAGAGUACAGAGUUAUCCUUAAGGGUGCUUGGACUCGUGCCGAUUGCUUGGAAUUAAUGCCAAGUGAGGCUGCUGAUUGUGCAUUCAACAACUCUAUUAGGGAGACCAUUGGAGCGCACCUAGAUUAUGGCCCUCUGCAUGACCGAGUGGGCACGGAGCUAUGGAGAUGUAUCAAUGGUAGUAAUGUGGUGCUUGGCCGCGCACCUGGUAGAGAAACGGACGGUCUCGUUAGGAGUACUCUACAGAAGGUUGUGAAUCGUUGCCGAACACUAGCCGCUUUACUCUCUUGCCAUGGAGGUUCAUCAACGGAUGUGCGUGCACGUGCUCAGUAUAGAAUGGAUGUUCUUUCUUCCGCUCGUCCAUCUUCGAGCCAAGCACGUCCCCGUGCUUCUUCCGCUCGUCCUUCUUCCAGCCGAGCACGGAUUGAUGAACAGGAAGAUGAAGAUGAGGAGACAGACUUCGAUGCGGAUCCGUACUAUUUGGAGCUUGGGGCUUUGCAGAUGGAAGAUGCUCCACAGCCAACUCAACCUUCUCAGCCUUCUCAAGAAGCACGCCGAGUUAGCUCAAGGAACAUCCGACGUCCUGGAUGGCAGAACACUCCUGAGGGCUACGUCAACAGGGGGAAGAUGCCUGCGAAAAGAGGCAAGAAGUGA